UACAUUACUGUUUAUAAAUGACGUCAGUAAGCUGUGAACUCUGUCAGUGAUAGGUCGUGGUGUACUGAUCGCUUGGAACAGCAGCUUUACAUCCUAACCAUGAACGGCAAACACACGUCAGCACACAGUUUGGUGACGGAGGCUCAUGUGAAGGCGGUGCUGAAAGCAGAUAAGGGUAAUGAUAUUCUUCUUACGUCAUGGGCCAUUGAAGAUUUCACUGAGAAAGGAGACAACCUGGCUACUGUUGUUACGAGCGUCAAAGUUAUGUUUUCACAUAACGAUAGCGUUCAGAGGAUUUCCUACGUUGUAUGUAAUGUAGUUAUCCAUUGGUGUCGUCGUGUUUAUAUAGGAGGGAGUGAAGGAAGGUCGCAGCCUCACGUUGACCAAUCAUAAUCUUUGUGACUGGCUGUGCUGGCCAAUGAAAUGAGGAGCAUCUAAGACUAGUGGGAUUGUUGAUGGUACUCGACAAUGGUAAUGAGGAGUCAGGCUUGGUACAUCAUUACUACACAAUUAGGAUGAUGACUUAUCUCUUGAAUACGGUGAAUUAACUCUUUGAUUAUGAUGACUUAAUUCCGUAAGUACAGUAUACACAAUGAACUAAUAAUCACUUGAUUAUGAUGACUUACCCAGGCCAGAGAGGACAAGAAUUUAACCUCUUGAGUACGACUUCAUCUUAUUCAAGGGGAGAGCUCGUCGUAUUCAAAGGGCCGAAGUUAUGAUUGGCAUUUGUGUGUGUGUGUGAGGGAUUUUAUUCCAGGGUAAGAGCGGCUGUGGCUUUGUGGAAUUUUAUAGUGAUGUGAUUGUAUUUUUUGUGUUUUGAGGAUUUUUUAUUGUGAUUUUAGAUGCACGGAAAGGCAGGGGGAAGGCAGAGAAUGAGAUCAAUGACUGGAAUUAAAAAUUGUGGUCCCCCAAAGAGAUGCAAAACCUGGGAGGAUUGGUAAAGACAAUCCUAUUAAUGGCUAAGAGUGGAGGGCCGCGGUUGCCAUCCCUCAGAUAUAAAAAUGAUACCUUGAAUGAUUGUUAUGGCUGUGAUUUGAUUAAAUUAUGCAUUACAACUUCUAUGUUUUCUUCACCCGUCUUUUAAGGGUUUAUGAAAAAUAAAUAAUUCAAAUAACUGUUGAUCAUAUAUUUCUUUGUGACUGUGUGUGUUUGUGUCACUAGCGUAAUUGUAUGUAACUGGAUUUGUGUACAUUUAAACCAAUGUAUAUUUUGUCUUACGAGACAUUACAAACCUGUUAUCGCAAUCUACACUUCAUAUCCUAAGUAAAUUUAAACUAAAGGUCCAUCCACACCACAGGUAUACCUCAUAACCACAGUUGUAAACCAACUCAACGAGGAACCGAAGUCGUUUUUCCUCCCUCGAGACGGGACACACAUUUACCAGACCACCCAAACACUCCAACGAGUGUGUAAAUAUAUCGCCGAUAUCCCCGCAAACUUCUCAAAUUAAACCGUGGAAAUUGGCAAUACUAUACCAUCCACGGCGUCCUCAGCUCAGUAAAUUAAUAUUGCAGGCAAAACUCUCCUGCUCACGGGAGUUCACAACAGUGAUUCGCGCUACAUCGUAAGUUCCGAAAUGGUGAAAAAAUAUUUACUGAAGAUGGUGUUGACUAUUCCUUUGUCCAAUUGAGCAUAGUAUUUUGUUUAAUUGGGUACAUUUACCUGGUUUGACAGAUGUUUAGAUAUAUUUAUAAAUAAGGUAGAUGUUUAUAGGUGUUGCCAGAUGCUUAAGGUGUUCAUUAGUGAGAUCAGAUUUGUACAGGUGUUAACAGGUGCCCAGAAGUAAGGAUAAGGUGAGUGUACGUGCUGUUUGCAAGUAUUAGUAGAUAUUAGCACGUGUCAGCAGGUGAUGGUCAUCCGUUCUGAGCUAACUACCACAAGGGACAUAUAUUUCCCCCUUCUGCAGCCCUCCGUUAACUGCCUUCCCCUCCUCUCUCCCCUUUGUUAGGAGUUUUACACUAGAAAGAGGAAGACCCAUUUUUCCUCAGGACCAAUAACCAUAGCCAGCCACGACACUCUCAC
RNAcentral lists this long non-coding RNA (2022 nucleotides) under Homarus americanus (American lobster). Its description in RNAcentral is "uncharacterized LOC121869818, transcript variant X1". Lineage: Eukaryota; Metazoa; Arthropoda; Malacostraca; Decapoda; Nephropidae. The record is from RNAcentral.